RNAcentral lists this ribosomal RNA (460 nucleotides) under uncultured bacterium. Its description in RNAcentral is "partial 16S ribosomal RNA". It matches the Rfam family "Bacterial small subunit ribosomal RNA", at positions 338 to 795 of the family's 1533-position model. The record is from RNAcentral.
CCUACGGGAGGCAGCAGUGAGGAAUAUUGGUCAAUGGCCGAGAGUCUGAACCAGCCAAGUAGCGUGAGGGAUGACUGCCCUAUGGGUUGUAAACUUCUUUUGUAUGGGAAUAAAGUGUUCCACGUGUGGGAUUUUGUAUGUACCCUAUGAAUAAGCAUCGGCUAACUCCGUGCCAGCAGCCGCGGUAAUACGGAGGAUCCGAGCGUUAUCCGGAUUUAUUGGGUUUAAAGGGAGCGUAGGUGGGUUGUUAAGUCAGGUGUGAAAGUUUGCGGCUCAACCGUAAAAUUGCAGUUGAAACUGGCAGUCUUGAGUAGAGUAGAGGUGGGCGGAAUGCGUGGUGUAGCGGUGAAAUGCUUAGAUAUCACGAAGAACUCCGAUUGCGAAGGCAGCAUACUGGACUGCAACUGACACUGAGGCUCGAAAGCGUGGGUAUCAAACAGGAUUAGAUACCCUAGUAGUC